GGGGCUGUAGUUUAACGGUAAAACAAUUCGCUGACAUUGAAAUAUCGCAGGUUCGACUCCCGCCAGCUCCACCA
Molecule: transfer RNA, 74 nt
Filed under: Candidatus Saccharibacteria bacterium 32-50-13
Lineage: Bacteria; Candidatus Saccharimonadota
Description: tRNA-Val
Rfam family: tRNA
About the family: Transfer RNA (tRNA) molecules are approximately 80 nucleotides in length.
Source: RNAcentral